This 460-nucleotide ribosomal RNA is filed under the name uncultured bacterium. RNAcentral's name for it is "partial 16S ribosomal RNA". It matches the Rfam family "Bacterial small subunit ribosomal RNA", at positions 338 to 795 of the family's 1533-position model. The record is from RNAcentral.
CCUACGGGAGGCUGCAGUGAGGAAUAUUGGUCAAUGGCCGUAAGGCUGAACCAGCCAAGUCGCGUGGAGGAAGGAGGGUCUAUGGUUUGUAAACUUCUUUUAUAGGGGAAUAAAGGUAUCCACGUGUGGAUAUUUGCAUGUACCCUAUGAAUAAGCAUCGGCUAACUCCGUGCCAGCAGCCGCGGUAAUACGGAGGAGGCGAGCGUUAUCCGGAUUUAUUGGGUGUAAAGGGUGCGUAGGUGGUUUUUUAAGUCAGCGGUGAAAGUUUGUGGCUCAACCAUAAGAUUGCCGUUGAAACUGGAAGACUGGAGUGUGGUAGGGGCAGGCGGAAUGCGUGGUGUAGCGGUGAAAUGCGUAGAUAUCAGGAAGAACACCGACGGCGAAGGCAGCUUGCUAGGCCACGACUGACACUGAAGCACGAAAGCGUGGGGAGCGAACAGGAUUAGAUACCCUAGUAGUC